AACGAACGCUGGCGGCAUGCCUAACACAUGCAAGUCGAACGAGACCUUCGGGUCUAGUGGCGCACGGUUGCGUAACGCGUGGGAACCUGCCCUUAGGUUCGGAAUAACUCCCCGAAAGGGGUGCUAAUACCGGAUAAUGUCUUCGGACCAAAGAUUUAUCGCCUUUGGAUGGGCCCGCGUUGGAUUAGCUAGUUGGUAGGGUAAAAGCCUACCAAGGCGACGAUCCAUAGCUGGUCUGAGAGGAUGAUCAGCCACACUGGGACUGAGACACGGCCCAGACUCCUACGGGAGGCAGCAGUGGGGAAUAUUGGACAAUGGGCGAAAUCCUGAUCCAGCAAUGCCGCGUGAGUGAUGAAGGCCUUAGGGUUGUAAAGCUCUUUUACCCGGGAUGAUAAUGACAGUACCGGGAGAAUAAGCUCCGGCUAACUCCGUG
RNAcentral lists this ribosomal RNA (433 nucleotides) under uncultured bacterium. Its description in RNAcentral is "partial 16S ribosomal RNA". It matches the Rfam family "Bacterial small subunit ribosomal RNA", at positions 29 to 507 of the family's 1533-position model. The record is from RNAcentral.